CCUACGGGUGGCUGCAGUCGAGGAUCUUCGGCAAUGGGCGCAAGCCUGACCGAGCGACGCCGCGUGGGCGACGAAGGCCUUCGGGUUGUAAAGCCCUGUCGGGGGGGAGGAAAGCCGAAAGGUCUGACCUAUCCCCGGAGGAAGCACGGGCUAAGUUCGUGCCAGCAGCCGCGGUAAGACGAACCGUGCGAACGUUGUUCGGAAUCACUGGGCUUAAAGGGCGCGUAGGCGGACCACCAAGUCCGGGGUGAAAUCCUCCGGCUCAACCGGAGAAC
This 275-nucleotide ribosomal RNA is filed under the name uncultured bacterium. RNAcentral describes it as "partial 16S ribosomal RNA". It matches the Rfam family "Bacterial small subunit ribosomal RNA", at positions 338 to 621 of the family's 1533-position model. The record is from RNAcentral.